UACGAAGGGUGCAAGCGUUACUCGGAAUUACUGGGCGUGAAGCGUGCGUAAGCGGUUAGUUAAGUCUGUCGUGAAAGCCCCGGGCUCAACCUGGGAAUGGCGAUGGAUACUGGCUAGCUAGAGUGUGUCAGAGGAUGGUGGAAUUCCCGGUGUAGCGGUGAAAUGCGUAGAGAUGAGGAGGAACACCAGUGGCGAAGGCGGCCACCUGGACAGUAACUGACGCUGAGGCGCGAAGGCGUGGGUAGCAAACAGG
RNAcentral lists this ribosomal RNA (253 nucleotides) under uncultured bacterium. Its description in RNAcentral is "partial 16S ribosomal RNA". It matches the Rfam family "Bacterial small subunit ribosomal RNA", at positions 524 to 776 of the family's 1533-position model. The record is from RNAcentral.